AGAGUUUGAUCCUGGCUCAGAACGUACGCUGGCGGCACGCCUAACACAUGCAAGUCGAACGAAGUAGCAAUACUUAGUGGCAGACGGGUGAGUAACAUGUAGGUAUCUGCCCUUUGGCCUGGAAUAACACGAGGAAACUUGUGCUAAUACCGGAUAAGUCUUUACGGAGAAAGCUUUAUGCACCAUUGGAUGAGCCUGCACUUGAUUAGUUUGUUGGUGGGGUAAUGGCCUACCAAGACUGUGAUCAAUAGCUGAUUUGAGAGGAUGAUCAGCCACAUUGGGACUGAGACACGGCCCAAACUCCUACGGGAGGCAGCAGUGGGGAAUCUUGCACAAUGGAGGAAACUCUGAUGCAGCGAUGCCGCGUGAGUGAAGAAGGCCUUUGGGUUGUAAAGCUCUUUCGUCGGGGAAGAAAAUGACUGUACCCGAAUAAGAAGGUCCGGCUAACUUCGUGCCAGCAGCCGCGGUAAUACGAAGGGACCUAGCGUAGUUCGGAAUUACUGGGCUUAAAGAGUUCGUAGGUGGUUGAAAAAGUUGGUGGUGAAAUCCCAGAGCUUAACUCUGGAACUGCCAUCAAAACUUUUCAGCUAGAGUAUGAUAGAGGAAAGCAGAAUUUCUAGUGUAGAGGUGAAAUUCGUAGAUAUUAGAAAGAAUACCAAUUGCGAAGGCAGCUUUCUGGAUCAUUACUGACACUGAGGAACGAAAGCAUGGGUAGCGAAGAGGAUUAGAUACCCUCGUAGUCCAUGCCGUAAACGAUGUGUGUUAGACGUUGGAAAUUUAUUUUCAGUGUCGCAGCGAAAGCGAUAAACACACCGCCUGGGGAGUACGACCGCAAGGUUAAAACUCAAAUGAAUUGACGGGGACCCGCACAAGUAGUGGAGCAUGUGGUUUAAUUCGAAGAUACGCGCAGAACCUUACCAACACUUGACAUGUUCGUCGCGACUCUAAGAGAUUAGAGUUUUCGGUUCGGCCGGACGAAACACAGGUGCUGCAUGGCUGUCGUCAGCUCGUGUCGUGAGAUGUUGGGUUAAGUCCCGCAACGAGCGCAACCCUCACUUUUAGUUGCCAUCAUUAAGUUGGGCACUCUGAAAGAACUGCCAGUGAUAAGCUGGAGGAAGGUGGGGAUGACGUCAAGUCCUCAUGGCCCUUACGUGUUGGGCUACACACGUGCUACAAUGGUAUCUACAACAGGAAGCAAAACGGCGACGUUAAGCAAAUCCUUAAAAGAUACCUCAGUUCGGAUUGCACUCUGCAACUCGAGUGCAUGAAGCUGGAAUUACUAGUAAUCGUGGAUCAGCGUGCCACGGUGAAUGCGUUCCCGGGUCUUGUACACACCGCCCGUCACACCAUGGAAGUUGGUUACACCUUAAGGCAAAGCUUAUACCUUUGACUACGGUACGAUCAGCAACUGGGGUGAAGUCGUAACAAGGUAACC
Molecule: ribosomal RNA, 1435 nt
Filed under: uncultured bacterium
Lineage: Bacteria
Description: bacterial SSU rRNA
Rfam family: Bacterial small subunit ribosomal RNA
Source: RNAcentral